This 253-nucleotide ribosomal RNA is filed under the name uncultured bacterium. RNAcentral describes it as "partial 16S ribosomal RNA". It matches the Rfam family "Bacterial small subunit ribosomal RNA", at positions 524 to 776 of the family's 1533-position model. The record is from RNAcentral.
UACGUAGGCAGCAAGCGUUGUUCGGAUUUACUGGGCGUAAAGGGUGUGUAGGCGGUUCUUUAAGUUUGGUGUGAAAUCUCCCGGCUCAACUGGGAGGGUGCGCCGAAUACUGAGGGACUAGAGUACGGGAGAGGAAAGUGGAAUUCCUGGUGUAGCGGUGAAAUGCGUAGAUAUCAGGAGGAACACCGGUGGUGUAGACGGCUUUCUGGACCGUAACUGACGCUGAGACACGAAAGCGUGGGUAGCAAACAGG